UGGGGAAUAUUGGACAAUGGGGGCAACCCUGAUCCAGCCAUGCCGCGUGAGUGAUGAAGGCCCUAGGGUUGUAAAGCUCUUUUGUGCGGGAAGAUAAUGACGGUACCGCAAGAAUAAGCCCCGGCUAACUUCGUGCCAGCAGCCGCGGUAAUACGAAGGGGGCUAGCGUUGCUCGGAAUCACUGGGCGUAAAGGGUGCGUAGGCGGGUUUUUAAGUCAGGGGUGAAAUCCUGGAGCUCAACUCCAGAACUGCCUUUGAUACUGAAGAUCUUGAGUCCGGGAGAGGUGAGUGGAACUGCGAGUGUAGAGGUGAAAUUCGUAGAUAUUCGCAAGAACACCAGUGGCGAAGGCGGCUCACUGGCCCGGUACUGACGCUGAGGCACGAAAGCGUGGGGAGCAAACAGG
Molecule: ribosomal RNA, 404 nt
Filed under: Bacillota bacterium
Lineage: Bacteria; Bacillati; Bacillota
Also listed under: 4 other names
Description: Firmicutes bacterium partial 16S ribosomal RNA
Rfam family: Bacterial small subunit ribosomal RNA
Source: RNAcentral